This 729-nucleotide ribosomal RNA is filed under the name uncultured bacterium. RNAcentral's name for it is "bacterial SSU rRNA". It matches the Rfam family "Bacterial small subunit ribosomal RNA", at positions 777 to 1500 of the family's 1533-position model. The record is from RNAcentral.
AUUAGAUACCCUGGUAGUCCACGCCGUAAACGAUGGAUACUAGGUGUGGGGGGACUGACCCCCUCCGUGCCGCAGCCAACGCAAUAAGUAUCCCACCUGGGGAGUACGAUCGCAAGGUUGAAACUCAAAGGAAUUGACGGGGGCCCGCACAAGCGGUGGAGUAUGUGGUUUAAUUCGACGCAACGCGAAGAACCUUACCAGGGCUUGACAUCCUACUAACGAACCAGAGAUGGAUUAGGUGCCCUUCGGGGAAAGUAGAGACAGGUGGUGCAUGGUUGUCGUCAGCUCGUGUCGUGAGAUGUUGGGUUAAGUCCCGCAACGAGCGCAACCCUUGUUAUUAGUUGCCAGCAUUAAGUUGGGCACUCUAAUGAGACUGCCGGUGACAAACCGGAGGAAGGUGGGGAUGACGUCAAGUCAUCAUGCCCCUUAUGACCUGGGCUACACACGUGCUACAAUGGGCAGUACAACGAGAAGCGAGCCUGCGAAGGCAAGCGGAUCUCUUAAAGCUGUUCUCAGUUCGGACUGCAGUCUGCAACUCGACUGCACGAAGCUGGAAUCGCUAGUAAUCGCGGAUCAGCACGCCGCGGUGAAUACGUUCCCGGGCCUUGUACACACCGCCCGUCACACCAUGGAAGUCUGCAAUGCCCGAAGCCGGUGGCCUAACCACUUAUGUGGAAGGAGCCGUCUAAGGCAGGGCAGAUGACUGGGGUGAAGUCGUAACAAGGUAAC